Molecule: ribosomal RNA, 253 nt
Filed under: uncultured bacterium
Lineage: Bacteria
Description: partial 16S ribosomal RNA
Rfam family: Bacterial small subunit ribosomal RNA
Source: RNAcentral
UACGUAGGGGGCAAGCGUUGUCCGGAAUCAUUGGGCGUAAAGAGCGUGUAGGCGGCCCGGUAAGUCCGCUGUGAAAGUCCAGGGCUCAACCCUGGGAUGCCGGUGGAUACUGUCGGGCUCGAGUCCGGAAGAGGAGUGUGGAAUUCCCGGUGUAGCGGUGAAAUGCGCAGAUAUCGGGAGGAACACCUGUGGCGAAGGCGGCCCCCUGGUUGGAUACUGACGCUGAGACGCGAAAGCGUGGGGAGCAAACAGG